RNAcentral lists this ribosomal RNA (482 nucleotides) under uncultured bacterium. Its description in RNAcentral is "partial 16S ribosomal RNA". It matches the Rfam family "Bacterial small subunit ribosomal RNA", at positions 30 to 507 of the family's 1533-position model. The record is from RNAcentral.
AUUGAACGCUGGCGGCAUGCCUUACACAUGCAAGUCGAACGGUAACGGGCCUUCGGGUGCCGACGAGUGGCGAACGGGUGAGUAAUACAUCGGAACGUGCCCGAUCGUGGGGGAUAACGAGGCGAAAGCUUUGCUAAUACCGCAUACAAUCUACGGAUGAAAGCAGGGGACCGCAAGGCCUUGCGCGGACGGAGCGGCCGAUGGCAGAUUAGGUAGUUGGUGGGAUAAAAGCUUACCAAGCCGACGAUCUGUAGCUGGUCUGAGAGGAUGAUCAGCCACACUGGGACUGAGACACGGCCCAGACUCCUACGGGAGGCAGCAGUGGGGAAUUUUGGACAAUGGGCGCAAGCCUGAUCCAGCCAUGCCGCGUGCAGGAUGAAGGCCUUCGGGUUGUAAACUGCUUUUGUACGGAACGAAAAGCCUUCUUUUAAUACAGGAGGGUCAUGACGGUACCGUAAGAAUAAGCACCGGCUAACUACGUG